This 497-nucleotide ribosomal RNA is filed under the name uncultured bacterium. RNAcentral describes it as "partial 16S ribosomal RNA". It matches the Rfam family "Bacterial small subunit ribosomal RNA", at positions 28 to 507 of the family's 1533-position model. The record is from RNAcentral.
GAUGAACGCUGGCGGCGUGCCUAAUACAUGCAAGUCGAGCGAACAGACGAGGAUUUUGCCUCUCUGACGUUAGCGGCGGACGGGUGAGUAACACGUGGAUAACCUACCUAUAAGACUGGGAUAACUUCGGGAAACCGGAGCUAAUACCGGAUAAUAUAUUGAACCGCAUGGUUCAAUAGUGAAAGACGGUUUUGCUGUCACUUAUAGAUGGAUCCGCGCCGCAUUAGCUAGUUGGUAAGGUAACGGCUUACCAAGGCAACGAUGCGUAGCCGACCUGAGAGGGUGAUCGGCCACACUGGAACUGAGACACGGUCCAGACUCCUACGGGAGGCAGCAGUAGGGAAUCUUCCGCAAUGGGCGAAAGCCUGACGGAGCAACGCCGCGUGAGUGAUGAAGGUCUUCGGAUCGUAAAGCUCUGUUAUUAGGGAAGAACAAAUGUGUAAGUAACUAUGCACGUCUUGACGGUACCUAAUCAGAAAGCAACGGCUAACUACGUG